AACUCAUGUGAAGAUCUUGAGCAAGAAUUUCUAUCAAAACUUUCGUUGUUAUUUCCCAUCCCAGUUUUUCUCAUAGGUCCUUUCCACAAGUAUUUUCCAGCUUCAUCCAGUAGUUUACUGCCUCAAGACAGGACCUGCAUAUCAUGGCUAGACAAACAACAACCCAACUCAGUGAUUUAUGUUAGCUUCGGAAGCGUAGCGGCUAUAGAAGAGGCUGACUUCUUGGAGGUACCUUGGGGACUGGCCAACAGCAUGCAGCCCUUUUUGUGGGUGGUUCGACCGGGGUUGGUCCAGGGCUCCGAAUGGCUUGAAAUUUUACCAAAUGGGUACUUGGAAAUGGUAGGGGAAAGAACCCACAUAGUGAAAUGGGC
Molecule: long non-coding RNA, 371 nt
Filed under: Gossypium barbadense (sea-island cotton)
Lineage: Eukaryota; Viridiplantae; Streptophyta; Magnoliopsida; Malvales; Malvaceae
Description: long non-coding RNA (GBAR_LNC004250)
Source: RNAcentral